Molecule: ribosomal RNA, 590 nt
Filed under: uncultured Halobacillus sp.
Lineage: Bacteria; Bacillati; Bacillota; Bacilli; Caryophanales; Bacillaceae
Description: bacterial SSU rRNA
Rfam family: Bacterial small subunit ribosomal RNA
Source: RNAcentral
GCGGCGUGCCUAAUCAUGCAAGCUCGAGCGCAGGAAGCGAGCUGAUCCCCUUCGGGGGUGACGCUCGUGGAAUGAGCGGCGGACGGGUGAGUAACACGUGGGCAACCUGCCUGUAAGAUCGGAAUAACUCCGGGAAACCGGAGCUAAUGCCGGGUAACAUGUUCCUUCGCAUGAAGGAACAUUAAAAGAUGGCUUCUCGCUAUCACUUACAGAUGGGCCCGCGGCGCAUUAGCUAGUUGGUGAGGUAACGGCUCACCAAGGCAACGAUGCGUAGCCGACCUGAGAGGGUGAUCGGCCACACUGGGACUGAGACACGGCCCAGACUCCUACGGGAGGCAGCAGUAGGGAAUCUUCCGCAAUGGACGAAAGUCUGACGGAGCAACGCCGCGUGAACGAUGAAGGUCUUCGGAUCGUAAAGUUCUGUUGUUAGGGAAGAACAAGUACCGUGCGAAUAGAACGGUACCUUGACGGUACCUAACGAGGAAGCCCCGGCUAACUACGUGCCAGCAGCCGCGGUAAUACGUAGGGGGCAAGCGUUGUCCGGAAUUAUUGGGCGUAAAGCGCGCGCAGGCGGUUCCUUAAGUCUGAUG